Molecule: ribosomal RNA, 468 nt
Filed under: uncultured organism
Description: bacterial SSU rRNA
Rfam family: Bacterial small subunit ribosomal RNA
Source: RNAcentral
GAUGAACGCUGGCGGCGUGCUUAACACAUGCAAGUCGAACGGACUUUAUAUGAAGCCUAGCGAUUAUAAAGUUAGUGGCGGACGGGUGAGUAACGCGUGAAUAACCUGCCCUGUACCGGGGGACAACAGUUGGAAACGGCUGCUAAUACCGCAUAAGCGCACGGUUCCGCAUGGAACAGUGUGAAAAACUCCGGUGGUACAGGAUGGAUUCGCGUCUGAUUAGCCAGUUGGUGGGGUAACGGCCUACCAAAGCAACGAUCAGUAGCCGGCCUGAGAGGGUGAACGGCCACAUUGGGACUGAGACACGGCCCAAACUCCUACGGGAGGCAGCAGUGGGGAAUAUUGCACAAUGGGGGAAACCCUGAUGCAGCGACGCCGCGUGAGUGAAGAAGUUAUUCGUAACGUAAAGCUCUAUCAGCAGGGAAGAAAAUGACGGUACCUGACUAAGAAGCCCCGGCUAACUACGUG